GGAUUAGAUACCCUGGUAGUCCACGCCGUAAACGAUGCACACUAGUUCGUGGGACCUCUCAUGGUUUCGCGGGCGAAGGUAAACUGUUAAGUGUGCCGCCUGGGGAGUACGGUCGCAAGGCUAAAACUCAAAGGAAUUGACGGGGGCUCACACAAGCGGUGGAGCAUGUUGCUUAAUUCGAGGCAACGCGAAGAACCUUACCUGGGCUUGACAUGUAUGGAUUAGCUCUUGGAAACAAGAGUGACGCCCUUGGGUGGAACAUACACAGGUGCUGCAUGGCUGUCGUCAGCUCGUGCCG
RNAcentral lists this ribosomal RNA (298 nucleotides) under uncultured bacterium. RNAcentral's name for it is "partial 16S ribosomal RNA". It matches the Rfam family "Bacterial small subunit ribosomal RNA", at positions 775 to 1067 of the family's 1533-position model. The record is from RNAcentral.